This 6196-nucleotide long non-coding RNA is filed under the name Triticum aestivum (bread wheat). RNAcentral's name for it is "long non-coding RNA (TAES_LNC026756)". Lineage: Eukaryota; Viridiplantae; Streptophyta; Magnoliopsida; Poales; Poaceae. The record is from RNAcentral.
UCAAUACUUCCCUACUUGAGGGGAUCGCAUAUACUAAAUUAAAAUGCAGUGAUCACAUAACAGAUUAUAAAUUGUUUUCUUAAUUUACACACACUGUACACCUGCUUUCCCAAAUCGGCAUUACCAUAUCACCGUAUAUCCAACCUUUAGGCGCAACAGGCAACCUACAAUUGGAGUGAUGGUUCAGUAAGAAAGAACAUUUAGCACAAAGAAAGAUGAAUUUUGAAAAAAAAAACUUGCAGUGAACACAGAAAAAAUCGAUGCUCGACUGACUACUAAUACCAUCUCAAAAUAUGCAAGAUGCAAGAUGCUUGACUGACUACUAAUACCAUCCAAAAAUCAAUGCUCAACUGACUACUAAUACCAUCUAAAAAUAAGAGGUCAAACCAAUCAAGUGAAAGACUUUUGAACUGGAAUUAGACACAUUGUACAUCAUCAAUCAUUAGGAGCUGGACCCCAUAGAAUCUUUUCGGCUUCGGUUGUAUGAUUAGAAUUUGGCUUCAAACUAACUAAACUAAAGAGUUUUUUUCCUUGUCCACUCUUUUGUUGCUAAAUUAUGAUCCAUAAAGUUAUAGUGCAUCUUGGAAAGGUUAUAAUAGUUUUGGUUACAGGGUUGAUGAUAUAUCUAUGGAUAUUAUGUUGACUGAUAGCCCAUGGUUCAUCUGAGCUCACUUUGGCGCGAAUGCGGUGAUGAAGGUUCGACCUGCAGUUUCAGAUUUCCCUUGACUCAUUCAGUGCAGCUUCCUUCGUGACGUAUGCCACAUGCUAAUAUCAACUUUCUCAUUGUAUAUAAAUUUUCAGGAGAAAAAAGGAAAAAGUUGAUACGGUUUUCCUUGCAGCUCAAUUUUCACACCCUUCCCAGGUUAAUAUUCACUGCUUUCUUUGGACCAACUUUAUGCUGCCUUUUCUCUGCACACACCUCAUCAAAACUGAACCAAGAGGCAUCACAUAGGUUUAGAUGGCGCGUGUGAACAUGGUUUAAGAUAUGAUAUUUCUUGGAGAGAGCAAACUAACCCUUUCAAUUUCACGAUCUAUUAACUAAAAUAUUGAUCGACGGCACAUUCUGAUGCUUCAACUUUGUUUUUGCCUUAUUGUCACUUAAUUAGGUAAUAUAGUAAGAAAGAAUACUGAAUGAGACUCGAAGGAAUUUUGAUGUCAACUCGUGAUUAGCAGAACUUAAAAUGAUCUCUUUAGACAAGUAUCAGAUUAAAGAAACCAAUAUAGAACCUUAUUAAAUAGGGACUUAGCUGGAAGGUGAGAAAGAAAUUACAAUUGCUAUUGGUGCAACAAUACAAAAUUUAGCUUAGCUAUCUAUCAGAUUUCUUGACUCAAAUUCCAGCUAGCAAAGACGAAGAUUGAAUCCCCAAAAAUCCAUGCUAAACCAAAUAUAGACUUGUUGAUUUACCUCAAUUGAAUUAUUUAUAAAACAUUAUACAUGAACUUGUUUUAAAUACAUGACAAAAUCUAGCUGAGCUAAACCUUCCUGGAAUCUUAUGUGGAUUUUUAGAGUUUAGACCAAGGAGAAAUGGGGAAAUAAUUCGGGACAGAGGGUAGUGCACACGGGAGCCUCAGAAUAGCGGGUAGCCUAGCGAUGUUUAUAGGAAAAAGGUGGCUUUUGUCUCAUCAGUGAGUUUGUUGCCCAAUGCCCGUGCUACUGAUAUAAUGUCGUUCAUGACAUACCUCGCCCAGUUCAAAUUCGGGAUGUCAUCCAAAUUUUAUGAGAGCCACAAAAUAUGUUGGAAGAAUAACUACGGAUCAAAUGGACCUCGAACUUUAUCUCACCGUGAACACCACAUCAAUCACAUUCUAACAGGAGGCCUCAGCCAUCGCCAAGGCAUCUCAUGGAACAUGGGGGAAACUCCAAAUCGAACAGAGCAACACAAAAAUAGGAAUCAGGCAUGAGGAAAGGGGAAUAAGCUAACCUGGGUAAUGGGAUCAGCAGGCCCAGGAGGGUGCCACCAUGCCAGUGGCCUCCACAAGAAUAAUCUUGCACACGAUGUCGCCUCAAGCAAUGGAUCGCCAACACCAGAACCGAAGCACUUGUUGUUCAUGGUUUCAGUUAUGAGAUAUCCCGUGAACUGAGGUACAAAUCACAAAUAGGUCAGCUCAUGAGCUAAAGAAUAUAAUCUUAUCCAAGAAAAGAUAAAAUAGUUCGCAGCAACAAAGCUUUAUUAAGUUCUUUACUAAGAAAGCUAACUUAGAAAUUACAGCCCAAACAGAGAAUAAAUGGUUUAGAACAGGCAUAAAUCUGAUCCAUCUUCCAUCAUCAAUAAUAAAAACAGGAAAUCUUGAAAUCCUUGAUCCAAACAUCAUAAGUCACAAAAGUCGAAGCAAACAGUGAACUGAAAAUUACUCUGAAAAAAACUUUUCUUUUGUUGACUCUAAACGAAGCCCAUGCCCUGUUACUCCAUUCUUUUGUUGACUCUAAAUGAAGCGUGAUUUAUAUGUUCGAUUACAGCCAUGACUUGGCGAUAUUCUAAAGAAUAUAACUAUAAGACCAGAGAUAGAAAACUAACAGAGAAUGCUGAGAAUAGAGAACACCUGUAAUAUAGUAAUGGUACAAAAAUUUGGUCGUAAGGUUGUGUGUGGCCGACAAGGGUGGCUCAGGGAGCGCACCAUGCAGCAGCGUGCGAGCGCUGCGGAAGAUGGGGAUGGGAGGGAGGCGUUUGCGUGCGCAUUUGGUGAUCAAAUGGCUCAGGAGGGGACCGAUCUUGGGAUAGGAUCAGUCAACCAACAUGUAGUAGUGACCUGACCGGAAAGGUAGGAUUUGCAUGAGCAGGUCAACAGAGAAUUAUAAUGUCAGCAUAUAGCAAUAAAACCAAUGAGCACUAUCAAGUUACCAAAAAGAGGGCGUUUACCGACAGCUUACCGUUAAUUUGCAGUCGUACCACUCAGUUAAAAUUAAGAAUAACCACACCUCAUUCAAUUAUGAUUCAAACAACAUGAACAAUUAUCCGUGAAGUUCAUUUCUAAACUACGCGCUUAUUAAGAUAGGUGUUUACCGGUAAUAGGGUAAAAUGAUACAUAAGUUUUAACUUCAGGAUAGGUAUUUACUGUAUUUUUCAGAGAUGGACAUGCGGGUCACCCCAUUAACUCAACAAGUAGAUAUAUUAGCUAGCUAUUGGUGUUCUCAGAAACCAUAAAUAGUUUAAACCGAAUUAUGUGUGCUUGUGCAGAUAGUAUAGAUGUAUGAUGGAUUCCUAGUUGCCGUGAUCAAUGAUCAAGGAGAUGCUUCUACAUGCAUACGCAUAGAACUAAGCAUUCAUUCUUCUCCUUGAUUCUAUUCUCCUGUUAAGCUCUCAAAUUUCUACACAUUUAUGAUAGAAAAAUGUGAUACUACAACUGCAGUUUAUAUUGCUGUAUUUAUAUGCUUCCAUACACAUGCUAUGAAGCACGAAACAUGACAAGGAAAAUACAAAGGAUAGCCUAAAGCAAAACAAUGGGGUUAACUAAAAUUUACCUAUUCUAAACUUGUUUCUUUCUGAACAGAGCAUCAACUCAAACCACAUAUAGCAGUGAAGCAACAAUGAUAUUUUCUCUAAAAAUCCAACACAGUGCCACAGACAGCACACAACACACUUAAGUACAAAAAAUCAUCAUUUUCCUUUGAAAGGGAGGGCGUUGGUUGGGUAAUGUGUACCAAAAAAUCAUGCCAAAUUUGAACGAAAGCCUGGGCAACCACUGAGACAUAAAGGAGUCAGAGGGGAGGUAAGGAGGAUUGGGAGUAGGUCAUCUAUGCAAGGAAGAUCACGGGGACCAAAAUCCUACAUGAGACUGAAAUGGAAAGGUUGCCCAAGGCAGACAAGAAUCAUCGGAAUCAUUUUCGAAUCUAAAAAUGGAAUAUAGACAGCAGUGACGAUAGUAGUAGAUGCAGAAUUAUGCUUAAGAGCACAACUGAAAUCUAUAUAACCGUCGUAUUCAUGUGCAGACAUAUCUUCAUCACAUCAUCGUUUUCCAAGUAUAGUUAAUAAGAAAUCCGAUUCACAUAUGUCCUGGUCAUCCCAUUUAUGCUGAAUAUAUUCAAGGCACUUCUGUAACAAUUUUUUUUAAAUACCCACUGUUAUCUAAUAUCUAGUAAACUGGGUACAAAAGACGGAGGCAAGAAGCCCAUGUUCUCUCAGAUCGAGUAUAUCCCUGUCCUGAAUGGUGUAUCCAAGGUUCCCCAUGUCAUGUUUAAGUACGAAUCACUUGUUUAUUGUGACAUGGACCACUGAUAUCUGAAAUAUAUGAAAAGACCCAUCAGGGCCCAGGAAAAAUAUGCCCUCCUAAAAGUAAAAGAAUGUCCCUGCUAUUUAAAAGAAGAUUGGCACUAAUAAGAGGCUAAGGAGAAGCAAAAUAAGCAAAGUAAAUGUCUGAAAAAUAAGAGGAGAGCAUCUUCGACAUUACCUAGAUACAUUCAGAAAAUCAAAAGCACCUGAACUAACAACUAAAACAGUGCCCUGAAAUAGAAUCCCAGACAUGAAGCUAUAAGCAUAAAUAACAACCAACGCAAAAUCAAAAGAAAUAAAAAUAUGUGCAUCACAAAAUACUAUUAGGAGAUCAGGUCUACUGUACAAAUAUGAGGCAGCUGCCAUACAAUCUCUAGAUGCGAAACAGCUGCAUUCAUAACUAUAUAUGCAUUAGCAAGAUAAAUCACUCUACCGAUUUGUAAGCAGCAAACCAGCUCAAAUGUAGUCAUCAUCAGUAACUCUUGCUUCGAUAAUAACAGCCAACCACCAUGUAUAUCCAUCCAUGAUACAUAAAGGGGGAGAAGUAAAUUACGUUGAAUGAGAAUUAAUUAAUUGCCACGCGGCUGCAGCUGCCAAACAUGCCACGGUUAAAUACAUGGAUUUUGUCAGGGAUCUGGGUACAUGAAAAUAGACAAAGUAACAAAUCAAUUAGAAGGAGCCAAAACAAGCAGAGGUGGUCAGUGAGAAUACCCGCAGGCGCCCCAACAGGCUAUAGACACCAUGUCACCGUGACAUGAGCCGAGACAUGGUGCCUAACAUGAGCCGAGACAGGCCGGCGAAACUGUAACAUGACGUGCAACAUGUAAGAAAGUAAGCAUCCAGGGAAGAUAGGCUGGCAGGCCAAGCAACUAAAUUAGAACACAUACACCCAUUUCUUGCACAGAGCAGUGCUUGUAAUCCCUUUAUUUAUUUUCAUUAACAAAGUGAGAAUGCAGGGUUAUUUUUUCAUUAAAAAAUGUGAGAAUGCAGGGCGGAGAAGGAUGAGGAAGCAACGAUAGAAAGCUCUAUUACCUCACACGGCCAUUCGAACUAAUCACCAGGAGACAAAAGAACAUAUUAGGCUCUAGGAAUUAACACAACCUCUAUUGCUUUGUUCAUACACACUCAAUUCUGAAAAAGGAAAACAUAAGCUUCAGGAGCAAACAAAUAGAAUAUGAAAACUGUAUAUAUAUACAGAGAAAACAAAAAUAGGAACGCAAACUGUCAUAUUACUCCCAGGUGUGAAGAGCCAAAGCUAUUUUCAAGCAGUAUUAUAAGCUAGCUCUAGAUUUUACUCCAUAGUAAACAGAAUAGUUUUGUAAGGUAGCUCUAGAUUUUAUACGAUUCAAAAAAGCAGCAGAUGGACACAUGAUUGUACAACUGAUGCAUAGUCACCCUCUUCUUGGAAUAGCCCACGGCUUAUACAUAUAGAUGAAAAUUUCAUCCAAACAUGCCAGUGUUUUUAGGCCAUUAAAUGGAAAGUGAUGCAUUUUUUGUUUGUCAAGUCCCUAUUGACCCACAGGGCAAACAGUGGUGUUUUACCAGGCCAACUAUUUUCAAAAUUUCACUAAACAGAACCCAACACCCAAAAGUAAUAGAGGGACGUUCUCCUCAUUAGCAUACAGACUGCACAGAGGUGAGCUAUAUGGACUCUACAACCAGCAGCAAGUGCAAGAUGUGUAGUGUGUAUGCCUAGUUGCCUACCAAGUUCUACUUCAUUCUACUGGUCAGAACUCUCUAAGGCGUCCGCCUUGCCUUAUGCCUUACCGCUUAGGCGGUGAGGCGCCCCCCCCAGCGCCUUGCCUCGCCUUACUGCCUUAAAAACAUAGCUCAUCAGUUACCUACGCCAUCUCACAACGCCAAAAACAUCCAUUCAUGGCAGAGAAUAUAUCAUCCACCACCGCAACGGAAAAGGAAACAUAAACGAAUUAAAUGAACAUGUAAAGACAAUAAAAGAAAAUUGUGCUUAAAAAGAACCAGGUCCAUAC